UACGAAGGGGGCUAGCGUUGCUCGGAAUCACUGGGCGUAAAGCGCACGUAGGCGGAUUGCUAAGUCAGGGGUGAAAUCCUGGAGCUCAACUCCAGAACUGCCUUUGAUACUGGCGACCUUGAGUCCGGGAGAGGUGAGUGGAACUGCGAGUGUAGAGGUGAAAUUCGUAGAUAUUCGCAAGAUCACCAGUGGCGAAGGCGGCUCACUGGCCCGGUACUGACGCUGAGGUGCGAAAGCGUGGGGAGCAAACAGG
This 253-nucleotide ribosomal RNA is filed under the name uncultured bacterium. RNAcentral's name for it is "partial 16S ribosomal RNA". It matches the Rfam family "Bacterial small subunit ribosomal RNA", at positions 524 to 776 of the family's 1533-position model. The record is from RNAcentral.